Acanthochromis polyacanthus (spiny chromis) is the source of this 2428-nucleotide long non-coding RNA. RefSeq lists it as uncharacterized. The transcript has 2 exons. The record is from RefSeq and is a predicted model, not a curated record. Lineage: Eukaryota; Metazoa; Chordata; Actinopteri; Pomacentridae.
GUGACAUCAUCACGUUUUUGCGACGUAGGAGGAAUCGAUAAGCGGAAUCGUCGGGCAAGUAAACAAACGAUUCUUAGGAAUCGAAUUACUGGUAACCGGUUCUCAAAAAGAACCGGUUCUCGAUUCCCAUCCCUAGUCAGGGGUUAUGUGCGUACAUGAAUCCUUUGUGGAGUUUGGCUGGAAGCUCAAGACAAUUUGGUUAAACCGCCACAAAGAAAGGCAAGGAUUCAUAUCUGCACAUUCUACACAUCGAAGCCAUUUAACAGCACAAAGAGAUUAUUGCUUCAAAAAAACAGACAUGGAGAGAUGAGUCUUUUUAGUUUAAUCAAUGACUGAAGAAUGACUUUACAUGCACUGUUUCAGUCCCAGAAUAUCCUGUAUUAAGCCUGUACAGUGUUGGACAGUGAGAGAUUACGAUUAUAAAAACACAUUGAUGCUAAUAUUUUUUGCUUAAAGCUAUUGAUCACUUUUAUACCGCUGCCAUCUCAUUUUUAUUUUCUUUUUGAUCAGUUUGUUUAAUUGCAUUAACUGAAGUAUUUUUGUGUCUGACACAAGCAGCUAGAAGAAAGGAGGACACUAAGACAGGGUUUUGUCAGCUAGUCAGCAUUAAUUAGCUGUUCUCAUGCUAUGUUGUCACUGCGGCUGCGCUCGGUGACCAGUCACAGUGUUAUGUUUCCCUCCCAGAGGACACAUAUCCACGCAAGUGCAAACAAAUGCACACACCUCAGAGCCAUAUGAGCUUCUGGAUAAGAGCCAUGUUUGUGAGCAGCAUCAUCUUCGUGAAGGUCUGCAGCCACAGUAGCUUUCUGUCUGCCCAAGUGAAACAGAAGCAGCUAAUCAUCACACGAAAAGUAACCUUAACCUGAGCUGGCUGUACAAGGAAAGACGCUUUCUUUGAAUAACACUUUCAUUAUUCAGCCUAUUAUAUGUUGAGCAUUUCCAAAACUAUGCAGAACAUACACUACCAGUCAAAAGAAGUGCAUUUACUGUGAAUGUUUUCAUAUUUUCUUAGCCUCCUCACAGCCAGGCGUUUCAGUUUAGCGGUGUGACUUGAGUUAACAUCUGGAGAAUGAUGAACUACAAAAAAAUGAUUGUGUCGGGUUCAGUCUGUGACAGCAGAAUUCAGGAAACAUCUCAGAUUUUGCUUUACAGACGUAUAGACUACACAGAUGCUAUGUGCACCAGUUUUUGUAGUCUUAAGAGCAAAUCCACAUCAUUAUUUUGGCAUGUCAGAGUAGUAAAAAAACUGGAACCUCGGUUUAUAAUACUGCCACACAUCAGAUUCUACUGGUGUUAGAGGUCUUAAAAGUUGGUAAAAUGUUCACCAAAGACUGUGUUUUUUGUGGAGAAUAUGAAUUCAUCCAUUUUUGUACAUGUACAAAAGCUUUUGGAGGCCACAAAUGUUGCAGUUUUUUUUUUUUUUUCCCCAUUUUCAAGGGCCAGUCUGCUUGAACCAUGCAGUCAUUUGGAUCUGCAGCAAACACGUUUGAGUCCUCACGGGAUUUCGUGAUGGUGGGAAUCGUAUUCUGGAGAUAUCGAACUCUUAAAAUUGCUUCUCUUGUGUUUUCUAGGGGAGAAAUACCCAAGUUUCCAGAGGCCUUCUGAGAAGCUGUUUCCUACAGCAUCCACAGAAAUAAAACUCCAGGAGAUGGAGUUUACAUUCCUGUGCAGUGUCAGCCGACCUCGUUUCAGCCAACACAUCCACAACCGAGGUCCUUCUUCACAUCCCAAUGAGGAAUGUGCGAUUUAACUAUUGUCCACACACUGCCUCACACACAAACAGCCAAGCUAAAUAUUACCUCAGAGGUGUCACUGUUGCAGAAGUGGCUGAUGGUGAAGGAGGGCCUCUCAGCUGGACUUCUCAUUACACCAUCAGUCUGCAGGAGGAAUCACCACUGGUGUAGCUUAACACCUAAACAACAUUCAAACGGCUACUAUCCUAUAGCUCAGUUUGAAAAGAACAGUUUUUAAGGUGUGACUAUUAAAAAAAAUUGUUGUAAAAAUAUGUUUUAUUACACAGAGGGUAUCUUAACCUGAUGUAAAGUUUCAAACAUGUACUGAGAAGCCAAAUAUGUGCAAAACUGUGCAAACGUAAUAGACUUUAAACAUAUUUUAAAGGUACUUUGAUGACUUUGCAGUUUUUCCAUGGACGCUGUCUGCCUCACUAUUUUCUGUCUCCUUGUAUAAUCCAGACUGACUUGAUCAUGAUGAAAUCUGCCAUCUGUUGCAGGACCUACUGUUCUUCUCUAUGUCUCUGUCUGGGUUUGUUGUCACACUGCAGAAAGAACUAGGACCAAUCACAUUUGUUCUGUGUAUUUCCUCACAGAUUAUGUCUUGUUUUCUAUCUUGAACUGUACAGCACUUUGGUUGACCUUGGUUGUUGUUUUUUUUUUGUAAAUGCUACAUAAAUAAAGUUGACUUGGUUUGA